RNAcentral lists this transfer RNA (77 nucleotides) under Photobacterium leiognathi subsp. mandapamensis. RNAcentral's name for it is "tRNA-Val". It matches the Rfam family "tRNA". Rfam says of the family: Transfer RNA (tRNA) molecules are approximately 80 nucleotides in length. The record is from RNAcentral. Lineage: Bacteria; Pseudomonadati; Pseudomonadota; Gammaproteobacteria; Vibrionales; Vibrionaceae.
GCGUCUAUAGCUCAGUUGGUUAGAGUACUACCUUGACAUGGUAGGGGCCGGCAGUUCGAGUCUGCCUAGACGCACCA